CAGUAUUUUAGUAACUUCCAUCAUCUCUUCGCUCUUUUUGUGAAGGGCUUGACAUUCCUCCUCAAGUGCCUUCUUAUCCAGGUUCAGAUGAUCGUUGUCUUUCUGGAGGUCUCUAGUUUUGGUUUCCAGAUUUGCUUUUUCUCUGAGAAGGUCUUUGUUUUCGGCCUCCAGGUGUUCAUUUUUGAUCUCGAGGUCUCUAGUUUUGGUUUCCAGAUUUGCUUUUUCUCUGAGAAGGUCUUUGUUUUCGGCCUCCAGGUGCUGUUUUUCGUUCUGGAGGUCCUGUGUUUUGGUUUCCAGAUUUAUUUUUUCCAGGUGAAGGUCUUUGUUUUCAGCCUCCAGGUGUUCAUUUUUGAUCUCGAGGUCUCUAGUUUUGGUUUCCAGAUUUGCUUUUUCUCUGAGAAGGUCUUUGUUUUCGGCCUCCAGGUGCUGUUUUUCGUUCUGGAGGUUUUGUAUUUUGGCCUCCAGAUCUUCUGGCUUCGUGGUUUUGUUCUGCAGAUCCUUCUUCUCCAUCUGUUCUUUACGUUUGGCCUUCAGAUGUUCGGUUUGCUUCAGGAGAUCUGCAUUUUUUGCCUCCAGCUCAAGCUUCUCCAGUCGAAGCUUGUGACUCUCUUCCUGGAAAGCCUUUUUGUCAUCCUUCAGUUUUUGCUUGAGCUUCAGAAAGGCCUCUUUCACCUUUGUAUCUACAAGCUCUUGCUUUUUGUCGUUGAAGACGAUCAUCAGCCUCUCAUUCUCAUCCCCCAGUUCUUUGGCCUGCUUUUGCAGAGCUUUUGUACUGGAUUUGAGUUUUUGAUUCUCAGAAAUCAGAGACAUCAUUUCCUCUUCGAUUUGUUUUUUUUUCAGCCAAAAUACUUUCUUUGUUCUCAAGCUUCCUCUUC
Amphiprion ocellaris (clown anemonefish) is the source of this 875-nucleotide long non-coding RNA. The record is from Ensembl. Lineage: Eukaryota; Metazoa; Chordata; Actinopteri; Pomacentridae.